RNA transcript from Bactrocera dorsalis (oriental fruit fly), 483 nucleotides. RefSeq lists it as uncharacterized. The transcript has 2 exons. The record is from RefSeq and is a predicted model, not a curated record. Lineage: Eukaryota; Metazoa; Arthropoda; Insecta; Diptera; Tephritidae.
CACCUGCACUUGAAAAUAUUUUUGAAAAUGUUUCUAAUUAUGUUUUGCUUUAGUUUCGGGUUCGUAAGCGUGGCGUUGACACGACCGGAUGACAUUAUCGCAGGGCAUUCUUUCUUAAUUUUUAACCACAUUUUUGAUAAAAAGAAUUAGUAGUCAUGGGGAAAAAUAAAGGAGGGAGUGGAGCAGGUAAAGGGGGCGGUGGCGGCGAUAACAGUGGAGGUGGUGGCGGUGGUGGAAAUAAAAAAGGUGGUGGCAGUGGUGAUAAGAGUGGGAACAAAAAUAAGGGUGCUGGGGUUGCGGAAAAAGCUGGUGGCAAAAAGGGGCAAGAACAGAAGGUUGGCGGUAGUGGAGGAGGAAAAAAAGGAAACAAGAAGUAACCACGAACGAUUAGGUGUUCACUUCCUCGAUUUAUUUGUAUAUUAAAAACUAUGUUGUAUACAAAACAGUUUUGCCAAUAAAAUUAAUAAAAGUUUAAAGUUAGCA